GCGUCGGUAGUGUAGCGGUUCGAGGACGCGCCCCUGGGCAAAGUCAAAUGUGGGUUCGAGUCCCAACUGACGCA
This is a non-coding RNA of Parelaphostrongylus tenuis, 74 nucleotides long. The record is from the annotation of a GenBank genome assembly. NCBI's taxonomy places the organism in Eukaryota, Metazoa, Nematoda, Chromadorea, Rhabditida, Metastrongylidae.